This is a small nuclear RNA of Armigeres subalbatus, 144 nucleotides long. RefSeq annotates it as U4 spliceosomal RNA. Lineage: Eukaryota; Metazoa; Arthropoda; Insecta; Diptera; Culicidae. The transcript has a single exon. The record is from RefSeq and is a predicted model, not a curated record.
AGCUUUGCGCAGUGGCGAUAUCGUAACCAAUGAGGUACAACCGAGGUGCGAUUAUUGCUAGUUGAAAACUUAUGUAACCAAAAGAUGCGCUAUCCAAAGACCGUGAAACGAAGCUAAGAAAGUUUUUGAAAUUAUUUUGAAUUG